GGGUUGUGAGGUUAAGCGACUAAGCGUACACGGUGGAUGCCCUGGCAGUCAGAGGCGAUGAAGGGCGUGCUAAUCUGCGAUAAGCGCCGGUAAGGUGAUAUGAACCGUUAUAACCGGCGAUACCCGAAUGGGGAAACCCAGUGUGAUUCGUCACACUAUCAUUAACUGAAUCCAUAGGUUAAUGAGGCGAACCGGGGGAACUGAAACAUCUAAGUACCCCGAGGAAAAGAAAUCAACCGAGAUUCCCCCAGUAGCGGCGAGCGAACGGGGAGGAGCCCAGAGCCUGAAUCAGCAUGUGUGUUAG
This 304-nucleotide ribosomal RNA is filed under the name Salmonella enterica. RNAcentral describes it as "partial 23S ribosomal RNA". It matches the Rfam family "Bacterial large subunit ribosomal RNA", at positions 1 to 293 of the family's 2925-position model. RNAcentral also lists the same sequence under 2 other names. The record is from RNAcentral. Lineage: Bacteria; Pseudomonadati; Pseudomonadota; Gammaproteobacteria; Enterobacterales; Enterobacteriaceae.